UCUCAGUUCGGAUUGUAGUCUGCAACCCGACUACAUGAAGCUGGAAUCGCUAGUAAUCGCGGAUCAGAAUGCCGCGGUGAAUACGUUCCCGGGUCUUGUACACACCGCCCGUCACACCAUGGGAGUCGGAGAUGCCCGAAGUCUGUGACCCAACCUACGGGAGGGAGCAGCCGAAGGCAGGUCGGAUGACUGGGGUGAAGUCGUAACAAGGUAUC
RNAcentral lists this ribosomal RNA (215 nucleotides) under uncultured bacterium. RNAcentral's name for it is "partial 16S ribosomal RNA". It matches the Rfam family "Bacterial small subunit ribosomal RNA", at positions 1286 to 1500 of the family's 1533-position model. The record is from RNAcentral.